RNAcentral lists this ribosomal RNA (253 nucleotides) under uncultured bacterium. RNAcentral describes it as "partial 16S ribosomal RNA". It matches the Rfam family "Bacterial small subunit ribosomal RNA", at positions 524 to 776 of the family's 1533-position model. The record is from RNAcentral.
UACGGAGGGUGCAAGCGUUAAUCGGAAUUACUGGGCGUAAAGCGUGCGUAGGCGGUGACUUAAGUCUGUUGUGAAAUCCCCGGGCUCAACCUGGGAAUGGCAAUGGAUACUGGGUCGCUAGAGUGUGAUAGAGGAUGGUGGAAUUCCCGGUGUAGCGGUGAAAUGCGUAGAGAUCGGGAGGAACAUCAGUGGCGAAGGCGGCCAUCUGGACCAACACUGACGCUGAGGCACGAAAGCGUGGGGAGCAAACAGG